RNAcentral lists this ribosomal RNA (465 nucleotides) under uncultured bacterium. RNAcentral's name for it is "partial 16S ribosomal RNA". It matches the Rfam family "Bacterial small subunit ribosomal RNA", at positions 338 to 795 of the family's 1533-position model. The record is from RNAcentral.
CCUACGGGAGGCUGCAGUAGGGAAUUUUCCACAAUGGGCGAAAGCCUGAUGGAGCAACGCCGCGUGGGUGAAGAAGGUCUUCGGAUCGUAAAACCCUGUUGUUAGAGAAGAAAGUGCGUGAGAGUAACUGUUCACGUUUCGACGGUAUCUAACCAGAAAGCCACGGCUAACUACGUGCCAGCAGCCGCGGUAAUACGUAGGUGGCAAGCGUUAGCCGGAUUUAUUGGGCGUAAAGGGAACGCAGGCGGUCUUUUAAGUCUGAUGUGAAAGCCUUCGGCUUAACCGGAGUAGUGCAUUGGAAACUGGGAGACUGGAGUGCAGAAGAGGAGAGUGGAACUCCAUGUGUAGCGGUGAAAUGCGUAGAUAUAUGGAAGAACACCAGUGGCGAAAGCGGCUCUCUGGUCUGUAACUGACGCUGAGGUUCGAAAGCGUGGGUAGCAAACAGGAUUAGAUACCCCUGUAGUC